Molecule: ribosomal RNA, 520 nt
Filed under: uncultured Acaulospora
Lineage: Eukaryota; Fungi; Glomeromycota; Glomeromycetes; Diversisporales; Acaulosporaceae
Description: SSU rRNA
Rfam family: Eukaryotic small subunit ribosomal RNA
Source: RNAcentral
AGCAGCCGCGGUAAUUCCAGCUCCAAUAGCGUAUAUUAAAGUUGUUGCAGUUAAAAAGCUCGUAGUUGAAUUUCGGGGUUCAUACGUUGGUCGGGCUUUUUUGGUCUGUACUGGCGUAAUGGAUUCCUACCUUCUGAAUAACCGGCAUGUCAUUAAUUUGGUGCGCCGGGGAAGCAGGACUGUUACCUUGAAAAAUUAGAGUGCUUAAAGCAGGCUAUCGCCUGAGUACAUUAGCAUGGAAUAAUGAAAUAGGACGGCAUGGUUCUAUUUUGUUGGUUUCUAGGAUCACCGUUAUGAUUAAUAGGGAUAGUUGGGGGCAUUAGUAUUCAAUUGUCAGAGGUGAAAUUCUUGGAUUUAUUGAAGACUAACUUCUGCGAAAGCAUUUGCCAAGGAUGUUUUCAUUAAUCAAGAACGAAAGUUAGGGGAUCGAAGACGAUCAGAUACCGUCGUAGUCUUAACCAUAAACUAUGCCGACUAGGGAUCGGACGAUGUUAAUUUUUAAUGACUCGUUCGGCGCCUU